ACUACGUCAUCAUAUGGCGCUUCAUAUGUAAUUUGGCGAGGCGGAAUCCCAGCUACUGUAUUCAAAUUAGAUGCCCUAUAUUCAUUUAUUACACCGACCUGAAGGGGAGUGUUCUGUACACAGAUACACUGUAGUGAUGGAGGCCCACAAUUUGUCCUGCAUCAUUUGUUUGGAUCCCUUCACCGUCCCAGUCACCGUCCCAUGCGGUCACACCUUCUGUCGAGACUGCAUCACGGCUCACUCGGACACGAAGUCCAUGUCCGAUAUGCCCUGUCUGCAAUGAGAAAUUCACCACCAGGCUUGUCCUGAAUCGCAACGUGUCCCUGUCCUCUCUGGCUGAGGCCUCAGCGAAUAGUGCCGGUGCAUCCGGUAGAGACACUGUACCAGUUAUGAGGGGCGACAUGGCCAAAGCCAUGACCCUGAUUCUGUGACCGACACAAGAAGCCCCUGGUGUACUACUGCCGGACAGACAACGUGUGUGUGCUGUGAGUGUGCCAUCUCUGAGUGUAAGAACCACGAGGAGGUGCUGGUGGAGUGUGAGAGGGAGAACCGAGAGUCACUACUGUGGAGGAAGAGUGUGGAGGUGGGAAUAUGUAUAGAGGAGACUGAAAGGAGCUGGGCUGACAGAGAAUAUCGCCAAAGCCAAGACCGCUGCACUCUGACCCUCGUACGGCCAACAGUCACCUGCUACUCUCCCAGGAGGAGCGCUGCGCCGUGUCCCCGCCCACGAGUACUCGCCAAGACUACACCUGGCAUGUGCUCUGCUUCCAGGGCUUCAAACACAGAAAGCAGUACUGGGAGCUGGAGGUGUCCAAGCCAUGGGCCUACCUGGGGGUCAGAGUGUGAAGGCCAUGGUAGCCCAGAGCAGGGGGUCAGAGUGUGAAGGCCAUGGUAGCCCAGAGCAGGGCUAUUCAACUGACAACAGGGGGGGGAGCAGUGUAACUGGCUUCCAGGUCCAGAGUUGAGUUUGGGGACUAUAGAAUUGCACCUGUGUCUUUUGAGACUUCCCAACAUAACCUUUGACCCCUGCGUCUCUCCCCCAGUUCACCUAUGAGGGCAUCCCCAGGAAGGAAAAGGGAAAGAGUAGCAUGGUGGUAAUGAACGAUCUGUCCUGGAGCCUCCAGCUGGACGAGGAUCAGCUGAACGCCUGGAGACGGUGGCUGGUCAUUACAACCACAUUGUAAUGCUGCUGGAUUACGAGGCGGGAACGCUGACGUACUACGAAGACAGGCAGAUGAGGCUGCAUUCCUUCUACUGUGCCUUCACUCAGGAGCUGUUCCCCUGCCUGUCGGAUAGGGGAGGGCGUCAGCGUCACCCUCUGCUCGCCAUGACGACAACACGAAAGGGAACAACUGAGCUAACAAUGUCAUAAGGGACUAGUCUUGCAAAGCUGAUGAGUAUUGUGAUCUCACCUUACUGUACAGAUGUUUUUACAGUCCUGUUGUGGGACACAGACUUGAACGGGAGCGACUAGUAAGUACAUAUGUGACACGGGACUCUUCUGAAAUAUGGGAUCACUCAGGACAGUGGACUAGUCUUUGGGAUACUGUUGUGGAUUUGCAGGUUCUCAGAACCGUGAGCACAGUUAGGAACUGGAAAUGACUACUGUGCGGGAAACCGGUUUUCCAUAAGAGAAGGGAAAAGCACAUGUCUAGGGUCCCUAAAGGCUGAAGAAAUUUCACAGAAGUUCCUGUUGGAUUUGUAAUGGAGCUGACGUUAAAUGUUUUGCACUACUUUGUGUUGGAAGUUGGAACUGGACAAAUAUGGUAUUUAAAAUGUGGUCUUCCGAUUUAGACAGCUUGUCGUUUUGUUAAACAAGGCAAUGACUUGUUUGUGAAUAAAAUGAAUAAAAUGGACACACUUCACAUCACAA
This is a long non-coding RNA of Oncorhynchus tshawytscha (Chinook salmon), 1873 nucleotides long. RefSeq lists it as uncharacterized. NCBI's taxonomy places the organism in Eukaryota, Metazoa, Chordata, Actinopteri, Salmoniformes, Salmonidae. The transcript is spliced from 4 exons. The record is from RefSeq and is a predicted model, not a curated record.